RNAcentral lists this long non-coding RNA (1257 nucleotides) under Salmo trutta (river trout). RNAcentral's name for it is "lncRNA (ENSSTUG00000018282.1)". Lineage: Eukaryota; Metazoa; Chordata; Actinopteri; Salmoniformes; Salmonidae. The record is from RNAcentral.
UCAUUGUUCCAUUGCAGAAAGUCUGUAGCAUGUAGUGUACUUUAUUUAGCUGUUCUCCCCCUCCGCAGGCGCUGGCUGUUCCCAGAACUGUGCUGCUGUUCUUCCCCUCCGCAAGCGCUGGCUGUUCCCAGAACUGUGCUGCUGUUCUUCCCCUCCGCAAGCGCUGGCUGUUCCCAGAACUGUGCUGCUGUUCUUCCCCUCCGCAAGCGCUGGCUGUUCCCAGAACUGUGCUGCUGUUCUUCCCCUCCGCAAGCGCUGGCUGUUCCCAGAACUGUGCUGCUGUUCUCCCCCUCCACAGGCGCUGGCUGUUCCCAGAACUGUGCUGCUGUUCUCCCCCUCCGCAAGCGCUGGCUGUUCCCAGAACUGUGCUGCUGUUCUCCCCCUCCGCAGGCACUGGCUGUUCCCAGAACUGUGCUGCUGUUCUCCCCCUCCGCAGGCACUGGCUGUUCCCAGAACUGUGCUGCUGUUCUUCCCCUCCGCAAGCGCUGGCUGUUCCCAGAACUGUGCUGCUGUUCUCCCCCUCCGCAGGCGCUGGCUGUUCCCAGAACUGUGCUGCUGUUCUCCCCCUCCGCAAGCGCUGGCUGUUCCCAGAACUGUGCUGCUGUUCUCCCCCUCCGCAGGCACUGGCUGUUCCCAGAACUGUGCUGCUGUUCUCCCCCUCCGCAAGCGCUGGCUGUUCCCAGAACUGUGCUGCUGUUCUCCCCCUCCGCAAGCGCUGGCUGUUCCCAGAACUGUGCUGCUGUUCUCCCCUUCCGCAAGCGCUGGCUGUUCCCAGAAAUGUGCUGCUGUUCUCCCCCUCCGCAAGCGCUGGCUGUUCCCAGAACGGAGCUGCUGUUCUCCCCCUCCGCAAGCGCUGGCUGUUCCCAGAACUGUGCUGCUGUUCUCCCCCUCCGCAAGCGCUGGCUGUUCCCAGAACUGUGCUGCUGUUCUCCCCCUCCGCAGGCGCUGGCUGUUCCCAGAACUGUGCUGCUGUUCUCCCCCUCCGCAGGCGCUGGCUGUUCCCGGAACUGUGCUGCUGUUCUCCCCCUCCGCAGGCACUCUGUUUGGUUACUGUGCUUUGAAUUUAACAGCCAGUUGAUGUCUCUUCUUUCUCUCUCUCUUUCUCUUUCUCUCUUUCCCUUUCUCUCUCUUCUCUUUCUCUCUCUCUUUCUAUCUCUUCUCGCCUUGCUACUCUCUCCCAAAGUUGAUGGUUUUUUAAAGUUUUCACACAACAGGGAGAAGGAGAAUAUGUUGUGCAAACGUUUUAACUGUCACUAA